RNAcentral lists this ribosomal RNA (447 nucleotides) under uncultured bacterium. Its description in RNAcentral is "bacterial SSU rRNA". It matches the Rfam family "Bacterial small subunit ribosomal RNA", at positions 330 to 794 of the family's 1533-position model. The record is from RNAcentral.
GCCAGACUCCUACGGGAGGCAGCAGUGGGGAAUAUUGCACAAUGGGGGAAACCCUGAUGCAGCGACGCCGCGUGAGCGAUGAAGUAUUUCGGUAUGUAAAGCUCUAUCAGCAGGGAAGAAGAUGACGGUACCUGACUAAGAAGCCCCGGCUAACUACGUGCCAGCAGCCGCGGUAAUACGUAGGGGGCAAGCGUUAUCCGGAUUUACUGGGUGUAAAGGGAGCGUAGACGGCGAUGCAAGCCAGAUGUGAAAGCCCGGGGCCCAACCCCGGGACUGCUCUUGGAACUGCGUGGCUGGAGUGCAGGAGGGGCAGGCGGAAUUCCUGGUGUAGCGGUGAAAUGCGUAGAUAUCAGGAGGAACACCGGUGGCGAAGGCGGCCUGCUGGACUGCAACUGACGUUGAGGCCCGAAAGCGUGGGGAGCAAACAGGAUUAGAUACCCCCGUAGA